AAAGACUUUUUUUGUAAAUUCCUUCUCACUAUUGUAUUAGAUCAGAUGUUUGAAUUUUCAAAUUUAACAGUAAUGCAUCUACCAUCAAUGUUUGAAAAAUCUCAUGUUCAUAUUAAAAACUAUAAUCUAUGAGAGUUGCGUAUUGUGUGAUUUUAUUUCAGUCGCGAUUAUUUAUAAGGUAUGCACGUACAAAUUGUUGACACUUUCAAAUGUUGCUUUCCAAAGUUCGAUUCUUUCUUUGGAAUGUCAUUGAGAUCCACCUCGGGGAUCAUUAAUUUCGUCGACAUCUCGGCGAUCGUACGUUUAAACGAAAUGAUGGGAAAUACUACCUGGAGGGAAAUAUCUAUCCACUUUCUGUUUCAGAGUAUGUUCAAAUGAACUUAGUAAUUGGCAUAUUUAAUAUUAUUUUAGCAAUUGUGUCAUCAGUUGGAAUUGCAAGAGAGAAAAAAAUCCUUAUUAGACCAUGGAUUGUUAUGAAUUUUAGCACUUUGUACAUAAUAAUUUUGAAAGUAUUGAUUCUAAUAAUCAUGUCAAUUUCUGGGAUGCUGACUUAUACAACAAUAAUAAUAAGAAGUGUUGCACAUUUUGUGCACUUUGGAGUUGAGUUUUCACUUCUUAGUGUCCUGAUCAACUAUGACAUUUUCAUAUCUUCCAAGGCUGUAACUAACUGAUAUUUUACAUCAUAAUAAACAAUUUUAUAAA
This 702-nucleotide unclassified non-coding RNA is filed under the name Cimex lectularius (bed bug). RNAcentral describes it as "uncharacterized LOC106666313, transcript variant X1". Lineage: Eukaryota; Metazoa; Arthropoda; Insecta; Hemiptera; Cimicidae. The record is from RNAcentral.